This 1436-nucleotide ribosomal RNA is filed under the name uncultured bacterium. RNAcentral's name for it is "16S ribosomal RNA". It matches the Rfam family "Bacterial small subunit ribosomal RNA". The record is from RNAcentral.
AGGGUUUGAUCAUGGCUCAGAACGUACGCUGGCGGCACGCCUAACACAUGCAAGUCGAACGCAGUAGCAAUACUGAGUGGCAAACGGGUGAGUAUAAUGUGGGAAUCUGCCUUUUGGUUCGGAAUAACACGAGGAAACUUGUGCUAAUACCGGAUAAGCCCUUACGGGGAAAGUUUUAAUGCCAAAAGAUGAGCCCGCACUUGAUUAGCUAGUUGGUAAGGUAAUGGCUUACCAAGGCAACGAUCAAUAGCUGUUCUUAGAGGAAGACCAGCCACAUUGGGACUGAGACACGGCCCAAACUCCUACGGGAGGCAGCAGUGGGGAAUCUUGCACAAUGGGGGAAACUCUGAUGCAGCGAUGCCGCGUGAGUGAAGAAGGCCCUUGGGUUGUAAAGCUCUUUCGUCGGGGAAGAAAAUGACUGUACCCGAAUAAGAAGGUCCGGCUAACUUCGUGCCAGCAGCCGCGGUAAUACGAAGGGACCUAGCGUAGUUCGGAAUUACUGGGCUUAAAGAGUUCGUAGGUGGUUGAAAAAGUUGGUGGUGAAAUCCCAGAGCUUAACUCUGGAACUGCCAUCAAAACUUUUCAGCUAGAGUAUGAUAGAGGAAAGCAGAAUUUCUAGUGUAGAGGUGAAAUUCGUAGAUAUUAGAAAGAAUACCAAUUGCGAAGGCAGCUUUCUGGAUCAUUACUGACACUGAGGAACGAAAGCAUGGGUAGCGAAGAGGAUUAGAUACCCUCGUAGUCCAUGCCGUAAACGAUGUGUGUUAGACGUUGGAAAUUUAUUUUCAGUGUCGCAGCGAAAGCGAUAAACACACCGCCUGGGGAGUACGACCGCAAGGUUAAAACUCAAAUGAAUUGACGGGGACCCGCACAAGUAGUGGAGCAUGUGGUUUAAUUCGAAGAUACGCGCAGAACCUUACCAACACUUGACAUGUUCGUCGCGACUCUAAGAGAUUAGAGUUUUCGGUUCGGCCGGACGAAACACAGGUGCUGCAUGGCUGUCGUCAGCUCGUGUCGUGAGAUGUUGGGUUAAGUCCCGCAACGAGCGCAACCCUCACUUUUAGUUGCCAUCAUUAAGUUGGGCACUCUGAAAGAACUGCCAGUGAUAAGCUGGAGGAAGGUGGGGAUGACGUCAAGUCCUCAUGGCCCUUACGUGUUGGGCUACACACGUGCUACAAUGGUAUCUACAACAGGAAGCAAGACUGCGAAGUUAAGCAAAUCCCUAAAAGAUACCUCAGUUCGGAUUGCACUCUGCAACUCGAGUGCAUGAAGCUGGAAUUACUAGUAAUCGUGGAUCAGCGUGCCACGGUGAAUGCGUUCCCGGGUCUUGUACACACCGCCCGUCACACCAUGGGAGUUGGUUCUACCUUAAGGCAAGGUUUCAAACCCUUGACCACGGUAUAGUCAGCGACUGGGGUGAAGUCAUAACAAGGUAACCG